This 828-nucleotide long non-coding RNA is filed under the name Ananas comosus (pineapple). RNAcentral describes it as "long non-coding RNA (ACOM_LNC038058)". Lineage: Eukaryota; Viridiplantae; Streptophyta; Magnoliopsida; Poales; Bromeliaceae. The record is from RNAcentral.
UAUAUAUGUAUGUAUAGUGCAUCUGGUAUGCUUCGAGAAGCACGGAGCGUUCCGUACUUUCAAGUUAUUUUCGAUGUUGGGAUUUUCGAAUCGAUGAUCGGUUAUUUUAGAUUUGAUCCAAAGUAUUUGAUGUAUCUAGAAAAUAAAUUUGUGAUUUUUCGAUAUCAUUUGUCUAGUGAUCGAAGUGGCUCAAAAUCAACGGUUGAAAAUAAAAAUUUUAUAAAUAAUGAUGAUAUGAUAUUAAAAUUUUAGAUCAACGUUAUUGAUAUUGUUUUAUAUAGUAUAAAAAAUUUUCUAUCAAAAUUUCACGUGAUUUGAAUAUUUCUACACUGUUAAACUUGCAAACGGCUCACAACGGCCAUUAAAAUUACUGAUUUUGAACCCCUCCCAUCACCAGGCAAAUGAUAUCGAAAAAUCACAAAAUUUAUUUUCUAAGUACUUCAAAUACUCCAGAUCAACUCUAACUGAGCUGAUCGUCGAUUCGAAAGUCGCAACAUCGAAAACGACUUUGAAGCACGGAAGGCUCUGUGCUUCUAGAAGCAUACGAGCCCUCUCUCUUUCUCUCUUUCUCUCUCUCUCUCUCUCUAUAUAUAAUUUUAUUAUAUUUAUUGUACAUGUUGUACAAUUACACACCAAAUUCUCAUGGGAAAUAAAGAAAAAAACUAUAAAAGCGUGAUUGUGAUUUGCUCUGACACCACUUCAUGGAGGUACAUGUUGUGCAAUUACACACCAAAUUCUUACGGGAAAUAAGAAAAAAAACUGUAGAAGCGUGAUUUGCUCUGGUACCAUUUGUUGGAGGUACAUGUUGUACAAUUACACACCAAAUUC